Molecule: ribosomal RNA, 461 nt
Filed under: uncultured bacterium
Lineage: Bacteria
Description: partial 16S ribosomal RNA
Rfam family: Bacterial small subunit ribosomal RNA
Source: RNAcentral
CCUACGGGUGGCUGCAGUGAGGAAUAUUGGUCAAUGGGCGCGAGCCUGAACCAGCCAAGUCGCGUGAGGGAAGACGGUCCUAUGGAUUGUAAACCUCUUUUGUCGGGGAGCAAAAGACGCCACGCGUGGCGUUCCGAGAGUACCCGAAGAAAAAGCAUCGGCUAACUCCGUGCCAGCAGCCGCGGUAAUACGUAGGGGGCAAGCGUUGUUCGGAAUGACUGGGCGUAAAGGGUGUGUAGGUGGUUUGAUAAGUUAGAUGUGUAAUACCCAGGGCUUAACUCGGGUGCUGCAUCUAAAACUGUUAGACUUGAGUACUGGAGAGGAUAGUGGAAUUCCUAGUGUAGCGGUGGAAUGCGUAGAUAUUAGGAGGAACAUCAGUGGCGAAGGCGACUAUCUGGACAGCAACUGACACUGAGGCACGAAAGCGUGGGGAGCAAACAGGAUUAGAUACCCUUGUAGUC